RNAcentral lists this long non-coding RNA (1101 nucleotides) under Homo sapiens (human). RNAcentral's name for it is "long intergenic non-protein coding RNA 265". Lineage: Eukaryota; Metazoa; Chordata; Mammalia; Primates; Hominidae. The record is from RNAcentral.
UCUGUUUUUCUUAUAUAGACCCUGAAGCCGCCCGUGAUGUUCUGUAAGCAGGUUCCGCUUCAGAAUCAGAGGUACUUAAGAGGGAACCUGGAUGCUAGACCUGCCCUUGCUGCUGGCCUCAGUUUCUUUACCUGUAAAACAGGGAUUUUGGAACUGUUAAAUUAAAUCAAACUUAAAAGAAUUACAACUUAAAGCUGCUGGAACUUUACAUGAUCCCGAGCCUUGAGAGGAAUGUGGCUAUGCAGCCUGAGUCAUGUGGCAUGCAGAUGCAACCUCUGCCUUUUUCCGCUGUAAAUAAUUAAGAAGACCAAGUAGCAUCCAAGGUAACAGAAUUUUGGAGAAAUUCCAAAUUGCAUGGUGGUGUUGAAAGCUUUCCCACUUCAGGAGCUGCUGCAGGAAGUCUCUAUUUGGCUGCCAGAAAAGAACACCUAAAAGCUGAGUCACUCAACAGUCUCUUGUCCUUCUGCCUGCUGUUGUGGGAUGAUGUGUAGAGGAAGAUAGUCUUCCUCUACACAGCAAGAAGAUCCCUACCAGAUGCAGCCCUCUCAACCUUGGACUUCCUGACAUCCAGAACUAGUCACCUAAGCUGAAGAUUCCCUUGAGAACAAGUACUGUCCUGUGGUUUCAUGGCCUUUCUUCCAUUUGUGGUUCUUGCCAAGCGGAAUUUAAAUGACAUCUUAUCAAGAUGGAUAAACCCUAGUUUCCCAGUGCUGGAAUAUAGAAAAUGGAUGGACAAGUAAAUCCCACUCAGCACCCAUAGCCCAGGCAUGGGGACCUCAACACAUUUGAGCCGCAGAGAUCACCUUUCAUUGUGAAUAGCUCUGAGAUGAUACUUCUGGUUGAAUGUCUUUUUGUCACUUCCGGCUGGAUCUACCAUGAAAGAUUUCUGAAUCCAGGAAGAGAGAUUGACUGGGCAACAUGUUAUUCAGAAACAGGACCUUGCCCUGUCACUCAGGAUGGAGUUCAGUGGUCCAAUCAUGGCUCAUUGUAGCCUCAAACUCCCAGGCUCAAGCAAUCCUACCACGUCAGUCUUCCCAGUAGCUGACAGGGUCUCACUCUGUCGCCCAGGCUGGAGUGCAGUGGCAUGAUCUUGGCUCACUG